RNAcentral lists this ribosomal RNA (433 nucleotides) under uncultured bacterium. Its description in RNAcentral is "partial 16S ribosomal RNA". It matches the Rfam family "Bacterial small subunit ribosomal RNA", at positions 29 to 507 of the family's 1533-position model. The record is from RNAcentral.
AACGAACGCUGGCGGCAUGCCUAACACAUGCAAGUCGAACGAGACCUUCUGGUCUAGUGGCGCACGGGUGCGUAACGCGUGGGAACCUGCCCUUAGGUUCGGAAUAAAGCCCCGGAAGAGAUGCUAAUACCGGAGAAUGUCUUCGGACCAAAGAUUUAUCGCCUUUGGAUGGGCCCGCGUUGGAUUAGCUAGUUGGUAGGCUAAAAGCCUACCAAGGCGACGAUCCAUAGCUGGUCUGAGAGGAUGAUCAGCCACACUGGGACUGAGACACGGUCCAGCCUCCUACGGGCGGCAGCAGUGGGGAAUAUUCGACAAUGGGCGAACUCCUGAUCCAGCAAUGCCGCGUGAGUGAUGAAGGCCUUAGGGUUGUAAAGCUCUUUUACCCGGGAUGAUAAUGACAGUACCGGGAGAAUAGGCGCCGGCUAACUCCGUG